This 449-nucleotide ribosomal RNA is filed under the name uncultured bacterium. RNAcentral describes it as "partial 16S ribosomal RNA". It matches the Rfam family "Bacterial small subunit ribosomal RNA", at positions 29 to 523 of the family's 1533-position model. The record is from RNAcentral.
AACGAACGCUGGCGGCAGGCCUAACACAUGCAAGUCGAACGGGUCCUUCGGGACUAGUGGCGGACGAGUGAGUAACGCGUGGGAACGUGCCCUUUGGAUCGGAAUAGCCCUGGGAAACUGGGAGUAAUACCGGAUGAGCCCUACGGGGGAAAGAUUUAUCGCCAAAGGAUCGGCCCGCGUUGGAUUAGGUAGUUGGUGGGGUAAUGGCCUACCAAGCCGACGAUCCAUAGCUGGUUUGAGAGGAUGAUCAGCCACACUGGGACUGAGACACGGCCCAGACUCCUACGGGAGGCAGCAGUGGGGAAUCUUAGACAAUGGGGGAAACCCUGAUCUAGCCAUGCCGCGUGAUCGAUGAAGGCCUUAGGGUUGUAAAGAUCUUUCAGUGGGGAAGAUAAUGACGGUACCCACAGAAGAAGCCCCGGCUAACUCCGUGCCAGCCGCCGCUGUAA